RNAcentral lists this ribosomal RNA (710 nucleotides) under uncultured Staphylococcus sp. Its description in RNAcentral is "bacterial SSU rRNA". It matches the Rfam family "Bacterial small subunit ribosomal RNA", at positions 78 to 773 of the family's 1533-position model. The record is from RNAcentral. Lineage: Bacteria; Bacillati; Bacillota; Bacilli; Caryophanales; Staphylococcaceae.
GCUCGCUCCUCUGACGUUAGCGGCGGACGGGUGAGUAACACGUGGAUAACCUACCUAUAAGACUGGGAUAACUUCGGGAAACCGGAGCUAAUACCGGAUAAUAUAUUGAACCGCAUGGUUCAAUAGCGAAAGACGGUUUUGCUGUCACUUAUAGAUGGAUCCGCGCCGCAUUAGCUAGUUGGUAAGGUAACGGCUUACCAAGGCAACGAUGCGUAGCCGACCUGAGAGGGUGAUCGGCCACACUGGAACUGAGACACGGUCCAGACUCCUACGGGAGGCAGCAGUAGGGAAUCUUCCGCAAUGGGCGAAAGCCUGACGGAGCAACGCCGCGUGAGUGAUGAAGGUCUUCGGAUCGUAAAACUCUGUUAUUAGGGAAGAACAAAUGUGUAAGUAACUAUGCACGUCUUGACGGUACCUAAUCAGAAAGCCACGGCUAACUACGUGCCAGCAGCCGCGGUAAUACGUAGGUGGCAAGCGUUAUCCGGAAUUAUUGGGCGUAAAGCGCGCGUAGGCGGUUUUUUAAGUCUGAUGUGAAAGCCCACGGCUCAACCGUGGAGGGUCAUUGGAAACUGGAAAACUUGAGUGCAGAAGAGGAAAGUGGAAUUCCAUGUGUAGCGGUGAAAUGCGCAGAGAUAUGGAGGAACACCAGUGGCGAAGGCGACUUUCUGGUCUGUAACUGACGCUGAUGUGCGAAAGCGUGGGGAUCAAAC